AUCAGACAAGACUACCCGCUGAACUUAAGCAUAUCAAUAAGCGGAGGA
RNAcentral lists this ribosomal RNA (48 nucleotides) under Globisporangium heterothallicum. Its description in RNAcentral is "partial 28S ribosomal RNA". Lineage: Eukaryota; Oomycota; Peronosporomycetes; Pythiales; Pythiaceae. The record is from RNAcentral.